UUUUUUUUUUUUUUUUUUUUUUUUUCAUGUUGAUCUUAACAAUGUCUCUCGACUUAAUGCCUUAAAGAGUUAACUCUUAUUUUUAUUCAAGAUUCACUUGUUCCUUUCAUUACUUUGUCUAUCCACUUUUCAUUUUUGUUGAAGGUUCACCUGUCUUUUUCUUUCCAUGCUUUCUGUUUUCCUUUGACUUUGGGUAUCAGUACUCUUGACAAAAGCAGUGGACCACUCUGUACCUAUUAACCACAAAUGGAAUACGAAACAAAGUGUGUUGGGACGUCCCACACACGGCUGUAGAUUUUUAACCCUUCUUGACAUGAUCUUGAGGCAUUCAGGUGACCCAAUCCACUACUAGGGUGUCAAGGGAUUUGUAUAGAGAGAAUAAUAGCCUUGGCCACCCAGUGCUCAGGCUCAUACUGCUACCUAGUGUGUGUGUGUGUGUGUGUGUGUGUGUGUGUGUGUGUGUGUGUGUGUGUGUGUGUGUGUGUGUGUGUGUGUGUACUAAAGGUGUUACCAUAUCAGGUGUUUCUGUGUCAAAGGCAAAACUUGGUGUACAGUAUCCAGAUCAUAUAUGUAUGCAGGGUGAUAUACAGAGAGUUACAGGUGUUUGUGUACAUAUAUACAUAAUCUGCUAGAUAGACGGCUGGUGUCCCAGGGCUGCCGCACUGCCCUGCCGGCCAUGUUGCAGCCGGCAGUGCCACAAACAGACUUGUGGUGAGGCGGUGGGGGAAACACAAUGCAGUGCAAGCCAAACAACAACACAGUGACGACACGCUGGCACAGAUUCAGUGACGGUUUAUAUUUUUUUAUACUGCGUGCCAGGAAAACUUUUGAGCUCAAGACCUGCGUUGGUGUUUCCUCCCAUGCCACACUGACUUUUUCCCUGUGCUUCCCCUAGCCAGCUUUAAGCUGGCAGGAGGCUGAUGUGUGCAGGGGUGCCACUUAUCUCGACUGCAUCAGUCUAUGUUAAGUUAGUGAAGUGUUAGGUGGGUGUAGGAGGCAGCUGGGGUGUUGCCGGAUGGUGUUGAGUGUUGCUAUACCCCUCAGUGUAGCCACUUGCCUUACCUUGCUGUAGAUAUGAUUCCUUAUGGUUUGACUAACUGUAGUUUCUUUUUAUUAUGUCGUACUAUUAAUGCUGUCAUUAUUGCAUUAUUAGUGUUAUCACCACACACCUCAUAUGUGUGUGUGUGUGUGUGUGCAUGUACAACAUGUGUGUAUCUGUGUGUACAAUGUGUGUGUGUAGACAACAGUGUACUACUACUACUAUAUCUUCUCUUGGUACCUUCACUGUAAGUUGUGAAUGAGACAAUAUGUACUAAUUCAUAUCUAACCAUCUUCCUCCUAACAACUUCCCAGCUCCUGGUGCUAAUGCUGCAGCUGCCAACCAGACUCCUCCCUUUAAUGACCACACAAACCUCCAUUUACCUCAGAGCGGCCUGGCUAUCAAGGGUCCAGGGAGGCAGAGCUUGGCCCUUGUGUAACCCAACCAACUUUUGGUGAUUUCUUGAGCCAAAAUAUGUGUUAUUUUCUUUGAGAUUUGAUAUGAGGUUGAGGAGUGCUUUGUUACUUGGUGAAUGUUUUGAGUAUUGGCAUCAGAGAGAGAGAGAGAGAGAGAGAGAGAGAGAGAGAGAGAGAGAGAGAGAGAGAGAGAGAGAGA
Molecule: long non-coding RNA, 1654 nt
Organism: Portunus trituberculatus (swimming crab)
Lineage: Eukaryota; Metazoa; Arthropoda; Malacostraca; Decapoda; Portunidae
Exons: 2
Source: RefSeq, a predicted model, not a curated record